GACGAACGCUGGCGGCGUGCUUAACACAUGCAAGUCGAACGAGAGCGUAGAGAAAGCUUGCUUUUUCUACAAUCUAGUGGCAAACGGGUGAGUAACGCGUAAACAACCUGCCCUACGGAUGGGGACAACAGCUGGAAACGGCUGCUAAUACCGAAUACGUUCCGAAAGUCGCAUGACUGUCGGAAGAAAGGAUGGCCUCUAUUUAUAAGCUAUCGCCGGAGGAGGGGUUUGCGUCUGAUUAGCUAGUUGGAGGGGUAACGGCCCACCAAGGCGACGAUCAGUAGCCGGUCUGAGAGGAUGAACGGCCACAUUGGAACUGAGACACGGUCCAGACUCCUACGGGAGGCAGCAGUGGGGAAUCUUCCGCAAUGGGCGAAAGCCUGACGGAGCAACGCCGCGUGAGUGAAGACGGCCUUCGGGUUGUAAAGCUCUGUUAUACGGGACGAAUAAUCUUGUGGUUAAUACCCAUAAGAAGUGACGGUACCGUAAGAGAAAGCCACGGCUAACUACGUGCCAGCCGCCGCAGUAAUAC
RNAcentral lists this ribosomal RNA (532 nucleotides) under uncultured bacterium. RNAcentral describes it as "bacterial SSU rRNA". It matches the Rfam family "Bacterial small subunit ribosomal RNA", at positions 28 to 526 of the family's 1533-position model. The record is from RNAcentral.